CUGGGCCAGGCCAGUUUAAAGAUAGAGUUACCUAGACUCCAUCAGGUCCACGGGCUGCUUAGAUCUGUUGUGGGGCAGCAUUUCUGUGGAAGAGGCGGCUCGGCCUGCACUAGCGGUGAGGUUCCCCUGCUGAGGUCACAGUAGAGAGGCAGGAGGCAGCAGAAGGGGACGGCACAGGGCCAGCGGCGACGGAGCAGAUGGCACAGUGUGGUGAACGGUGACACAAACAACAGCAGCAGAGUGAACGACACGCAGCAGCAGCAGCAGCAGCGGGCAGUGAAGGCGUUACUCAAUUUCCCCCCCCCGUGUGAACGCAUGUGAAGGCACCGCUGGGCUCUGGGUCUCCACAGACCAAGGACAGCAGCUUGCUGCAACCUCUGCUCGGAUCUUCUCCCAAUCUGCUUGGUUCUGGGACACUGCAAACAGAAAUGCCCUUGGGAUCAGGAGAGGGGAAAGGUUGCCACAACCAGGCUGGUGUCCUGAGUGGCCAUGUGCAGCGUGAGGAGCCCGCCUGUAACGCUAGGGGAUGGCAGCAACUGCCUGUCUCCAUGGAGAGGAAUACGUUGGUAAUGGAGGGUUUGCUGCUGACUGCCAGCUGGAUCUGUAUGUAAGCAGAGUCUGAAUGAGCUCUCCCCUGACAUCUAGUGGUGAGCUGUGGAAAAAGACUUCAGAAGCAAAAGAGUUCAGAUUUUGACCCUCUGGAACAAGGAGAAAGAGGACAAGUUUAUCAUGCAAAUAAAGCCACAGGUUAACCCUAAAAUACCAACCCCCCAAGGAAAUGGUUCAACUGAAAGCCUAUGUUAAGGAAGGUCAAGAAAAAGCUGCAAAGGUUCAAAAGGGAUAUUGAACAAGCUGACCUAAAGAAUGAUUUGUCUAAACCAAAGACUUGGCACGACAAAAAUGUUUGUAAAUGUACCCUUGUGACAGAACUGAUGUUAAUGUUUGUCAUAACUAUAAAGGGAAGGGUAACAACCCUCCUGUGUACAAUACUAUAAAGUCCCUCCUGGCCAGAGACACCAAAAUCCUUUUUUCGCCUUCCUCCGCAGCAU
This is a long non-coding RNA of Mauremys reevesii (Reeves's turtle), 1049 nucleotides long. RefSeq lists it as uncharacterized. The transcript has 3 exons. NCBI's taxonomy places the organism in Eukaryota, Metazoa, Chordata, Testudines, Geoemydidae. The record is from RefSeq and is a predicted model, not a curated record.